CACCAAGCUGGCCCUCUCGGCAACCGGCACAACACAACAAAAUGGCUGCUGUGCUGUCGGUCUCCUGAGGGGAAGUAUCCCGGCGUCUCCGCCUCGCCCCUCCCGCUAGGCCGUUCCUUCCCGUGCUGAGGCGGUUUUGAUGGCCACCUGGUUUUAUUCUUGCAAUGAAGAAAGGUUCUGAACGAAGGCUCUCCAAAGCAAAGAUGCCGCUGUCAUCUCAUUUUCCUGGGCCAUCAUCUCUUAGGUCCAGCAUGCGAUCUAGGUCCCUUUCACCUUUAAUUGGAUCUGAGACUCAGCCUUUACAUCCUGGCGGACAGUGGCCUGCACAGGCUGAGCUGACAGAUGAAAGCACUGUGCCUUUGGAGCCCCAGCAACGUAAAGGAGCUGAGUCAUAUGUAGGAGUCCGGUAUAUUACAGAAGCCCUCAUCAAAAAACUCACUAAACAGGACAAUUUGGCCUUGGUGAAGUCUCUGAAUCUUUCACUUUCUAAAGAUGGCGGCAAGAAAUUUAGGUACAUCGAAAAUUUGGAAAAGUGUGUUAAACUUGAAGUACUAAAUCUCAGCUAUAAUCUAAUAGUGAAGAUAGAGAAAGUGGACAAGCUGUUACGAUUACGUGAACUCAACUUAUCAUAUAACAAAAUCAGCAAAAUUGAAGGACUAGAAAACAUGUGUAACCUGCAGAAGCUAAACCUAGCAGGUAAUGAAAUCGAGCAUAUUCCAGUGUGGUUCGCAAAGAAAUUGAAAUCUUUACGAGUCCUCAAUCUGAAAGGCAAUAAGAUAUCAUCGCUCCAGGAUGUAAGCAAGUUGAAGCCACUUCAAGAUUUGACUUCUUUAGUCCUCAUUGACAAUCCAGUUGUGGCCCUUCCGCAUUACCUCCAGUUCAUCAUUUUCCACCUCCGUUCCCUGGAAAGUUUGGAAGGUCAGCCAGUAACCACUCAGGAUAGACAAGAGGCUUUCGAGAGAUUCAGCUUGGAGGAGAUAGAAAGACUGGAAAAAGACCUGGAGAAGAAGACAGUGGAAACAGAAGAGCUUAAGAACAAGCAAACAAAGUUUCUCGAGGAAAUAAAGAAUCAGGAUAAACUAAACAAGUCAUUAAAAGAAGAAGCCAUGUUACAAAAACAGAGCUGUGAGGAGCUAGAAAGUGACCUCAGCACAAAGAAGGAGUUGCUAAAACAGAAAACAGUGGAACUAACACGGGCAUGUCAGAAGCAGUAUGAGCUGGAGCAGGAACUGGCCUUUUAUAAAAUUGAUGCCAAGUUUGAGCCAUUAAAUUAUUAUCCAUCAGAGUAUGCUGAAAUUGACAAAUACCCAGAUGAAAGCCCUUACAUUGGCAAAUCCAGAUACAAGAGAAAUAUGUUUGCCACGGAGACUUACAUUGUCAGCGACGCCCAGGCAGUUCAGAUCAGGAAGAUGGUGCCAGAAGGAGGACAGCUUAGACACGAGCACACACCCCCGAGAGUCCAAGCACCACCUGAUCUACAGUUGGAAGAUACGGAAAAAAAAAUAAGUGCAGCACAAACUCGACUGUCAGAACUACACCAUGAAAUAGAAACAGCAGAACAAAAAGUAUUACGGGCUACUCAAGAAUUUAAACAACUGGAAGAAGCUAUACAACAAAAAAAGAUUUCAGAAGCAGAGAAAGACCUCCUUCUCAAGCAGUUGAGUGGUAGACUACAACAUCUAAACAGAUUACGCCAGGAAGCUCUGGACCUAGAAAUACAGAUGGAAAAGCAAAGAAAAGAAAUUGCCGAAAAGCAUGAAGAGAUCAAUACCGUGCAGCUAGCCACAGACAGCCUGGAUCCCAAAGACCCAAAACAUUCCCACAUGAAAGCCCAGAAGAGGGGCAAAGAACAGCAGCUUGACAUUAUGAACAGACAGUACACACAGCUCGAAAGCCGCCUGGACGAGAUACUUUGUAGAAUUGCCAAAGAGACUGAAGAGAUCAAGGACCUUGAACAGCAGCUUACAGAUGGCCAGAUAGCAGCAAACGAAGCUCUGAAGAAGGAUUUAGAAGGUGUCAUCAGUGGGUUGCAAGAGUACCUUGGAACCAUCAAAGGCCAGGCAACUCAGGCCCAGAAUGAGUGCAGGAAGCUACAGGAUGAGAAAGAGACAUUGCUGCAGAGACUGACAGAAGUCCAGCAGGAGAAGGAGGAACUUGAACUCAUUGCCAUGGAUGCAGAAAAUAUGAGGAAGGAGCUUGCAGAGCUAGAAAGUGCCCUCCAGGAACAGCAUGAGGUGAAUGCAUCCCUACAGCAAGCCCAGGGAGAUCUCAGCGCCUAUGAAACUGAGCUAGAGACUCAGUUAAAACUAAAAGACGCUGAAACCAGCCAGCUCAAGCAAGAGUUGGAAAAACUCCUAAGGCGUACUCAGUUAGAGCAAUCGGUGCUUCAAACAGAACUGGAGAAGGAGAGAGAAUCCCUCAGGGAUGCCCUGGGCAAAGCCCAGUCCUCAGAAGAGAAACAACAGGAGAACAACGAGCUCCGUACACAGCUGAAGCAGCUGCAGGAUGACAACAGCCUGUUAAAGAAGCAGCUGAAAGAGUUUCAGAAUCACCUUAACCAUGUGGUUGAUGGUCUGAUUCACCCAGAGGAAGUAGCAGCUCGUGUAGACGAGCUAAGGAAAAGGUUGAAACUAGGAGCUGGGGAAAUGAGAAUCCAUAGUCCUUCAGAUGUCUUAGGGAAAAGUCUUGCUGACCUACAGAAACAGUUCAGUGAAAUCCUUGCACGAUCCCAGUGGGAAAAAGAGGAAGCCCAAGUUAGAGAGAGGAAGCUCCAUGAAGAAAUGGCUCUCCAGCAAGAGAAACUGGCGAAUGGUCAAGAGGAGUUCAGGCAGGCCUGCGAAAGAGCACUUGAAGCCAGAAUUAAGUUUGAUAAAAGACAACAUAAUGCAAGAAUCCAGCAAUUAGAAAAUGAAAUUCACUAUUUGCAAGAGAACCUAAAAAGUAUGGAAAAAAUCCAAGGCCUUACAGACCUUCAGCUUCAGGAAGCAGAUGAAGAGAAGGAAAGAAUUCUGGCCCAACUCCAGGAGUUAGAGAAAAAGAAGAAGCGUGAAGAUGCCAGAUCUCAGGAACAGUUUCUUGGUUUAGAUGAAGAACUGAAGAGUCUGAAGAAAGCGGUGGCUGCUUCUGAUAAAUUAGCUGCGGCUGAGCUCACCAUUGCCAAAGACCAGCUCAAGUCCCUGCACGGAACUGUUGUGAGAAUUAAUCAGGAGCGAGCAGAGGAGCUGCAGGAGGCAGAGAGGUUCAGCAGAGAGGCCAUGCAAGCAGCCAAGGACCUGAGCAGAGCGGAGGCAGAGAUCGAGCUCCUGCAGCACCUUCUCAGGGAGAGAGAGGGCCAGUUCCGAGAUGAGAUGGAAAAUGCAGAUUUAGGUGCUAAAGGAGCAAACUCCCAGCUGCUAGAGAUUGAGGCGCUGAACGAGGCCAUGGCGAAGCAAAGAGCUGAGAUCACGAGACUCCGGGAUGUAUUAAACCUCACGGGGGCAGGUACAAAAGGAGGCAUUGAGAACGUGUUAGAGGAAAUCGCUGAGCUCCGGCAUGCAGUCUCUGCUCAGAACGAGUACAUCAGCAGCAUGGCAGAUCCUUUCAGAAGACAAGGCUGGUGGUACUUUAUGCCACCAGCACCAUCCUCAAAAGUUUCCAGCCAUAGUUCUCAGGCCACCAAGGACUCCGGUUUGGGUCUAAAGUACACAGCCUCAACUCCUCUUAGAAAACCACAGCCUGGACAGCAAGAAGAAAAGGACAGCAGUGGACCUCUGCCUGCUUCAGGGUACUGGGUCUACUCCCCCAUCAGAAGCACGCUGCAUAAGUCAUUUUCAAAGAGAGAAGAUGCAGACAGUGGAGGAGAUAGCCAGGAAGAAAGUGGACUGGAUGACCAGGAGGAACCCCCAUUUGUGCCUCCCCCUGGGUACAUAAUGUAUACUGUACUUCCUGAUGGUUCUCCUGUACCCCAGGGAGUGGCCCUGUAUGCACCAUCGCCUCCAUUGCCCAACAGCAGCCAUCCUCUGACCCCCGGCACUGUGGUUUAUGGGCCACCUCCUGCUGGGGCCCCCAUCAUAUACGGACCUCCUCCUGCCAACUUCGCUGUUCCCCUUGUCCCCGCGGGUGUGCAGCAUUGCAACAUCCCAGAGCACCAUAACCUAGAGAAUGAAGUGUCUAGACUAGAAGACAUAAUGCAGCACUUAAAAUCAAAACAGCGGGAAGAGCGGCGGCAGAAAGCAUCCACGCAGCAUUCUGAGGAAGAAGUGGAUGGGCUGCACCGUGAUAUUGAUGACCUUUUGCAAGAGAAGAAAGAAUUAGAACUUGAAGUAGAAGAAUUACAUAGAACUAUUGAGAGACAUCAACAACGAAAGGACUUCAUUGAUGGACAUGUUGAGAAUCUUAUGACUGAACUAGAAAUAGAAAAGUCUCUCAAACAUCAUGAGGAUAUCGUAGAUGAAAUUGAGUGCCUAGAGAAAACUCUCCUGAAACGUCGCUCGGAACUCAGGGAAGCUGACCGACUUCUGGCGGAAGCCGAGAAUGAGCUUGCAUGCACCAAGGAGAAGACAAAGAGUGCUGUUGAAAAAUUCACUGAUGCCAAGAGAAAUUUAUUACAAACCGAGUCAGACGCUGAGGCACUAGAAAAGAGAGCCCAGGAGACUGCACUUAACCUUGUGAAAGCAGAGCAGCAGCUAAGACUGCUCCAGGCUGAUGCAGAGGACUUGGAGCAGCACAAAAUCAAACAAGAAGAAAUCUUGAAAGAAAUAAACAAAGUUGUAGCAGCCAAAGAUGCCGAUUUCCAGUGUCUAAACGAGAAGAAGGAAAAACUGACAGAAGAGCUUCAGAGUCUGCAGAGAGACAUCAAGGCAGCGCAACACAGUGAGGAUCACCACCUUCAGGUCCUUAGAGAGUCUGAGACUCUCCUUCAGGCCAAGAGAGCUGAGCUGGAAACACUGAAAAGCCAGGUGACAAGCCAGCAGCAGGAGUUGGCUGUCCUGGACUCAGAGUUGGGGCAUAGAAGGGAGGAGCUGCUUCUACUCCAGGACAGCCUCGCCCAGGCAAAAGCUGACCUCCAGGAAGCCCUGACACUGGGGGAGACGGAAGUUGCUGAGAAGUGCAGUCACAUUAGGGAAGUAAAAUCACUUCUGGAAGAACUAAGUUUUCAGAAAGGAGAACUGAAUGUCCACAUCAGUGAAAAGAAGACUCAGCUCGCACUUAUACAGCAGGAGAUGGAGAAAGAGGAAAAGAAUCUUCAGGUGGUUUUACAGCAGCUGUCGAGACAUAAGACUGAACUAAAGAAUGUUGCAGACAUACUGCAGCUUGAAACCAGCGAGCUCCAAGGUCUGAAGCUCCAGCAUGACCAGAAGGUGGUGGAGCUGGAGAAGGCGCAGGUGGACGUGCUGGAGGAGAAACUAGAGCUGGAGAAUUUGCAGCAGGCAACGCAGCAGCAGAGAAGGGAGCUAGAGCGGCAGAGACAGCUCCUGGAGAGAGACAGGCGGGAGACAGAGCGAGUGAGGGCAGAGAGCCAGGCCCUGCAGUCCUGCGUCGAAUGUCUGAGUAAAGAAAAGGAGGAUCUCCAAGGACAGUGCGAGAGCUGGGAAAAGAAGUCUUCCCACGCCCAAAGAGUUCUAGCAGCCACAGAAGAAAGCAACAAAAUGGAGCAGUCCAACCUUGGGAAGUUGGAACUGAGUGUCAGAAAGCUGCGGCAGGAGCUGGAGCAGCUGAGCCAAGACAAGCUUGCCCUACACAGUGAGGUAGCCGAGGUGCAGCAGCAGCUACAAGGUAAACAGGAAGCCAUAAACUCUCUGCAGGAGGAACUGGAUAGCACCCAAGACCAUUUGGACCUAGCAAAGCAGGACCUGAUCCACACCACCAAGUGCCAGAACGAGUUGCUCAAUGAGCAGACGCAGCUGCAGGAGGACAUCAGCAAAUGGAUGGCCAGGUUAGAGAGCUGCCAGAAAGAGACGGAGACAAAGGAACAGCAAGUCCAGCAGCUCCAGGAUGAGAUCAGAGAGAGCAAGCUCCGGCUGGACCAGCAGGAGAUGAUGUUUCAAAAACUCCAGAAAGAAAGAGAACGUGAGGAGCAGAAGUUCGAGGCUGGUAAAGUGACGCUGGAGCAGCAGCAGAGGCAGCUGGAGAAGGAGCUGACGGACCAGAAAAGCAGGCUGAAGCAGCUGCUCACAGACGUGUCGGCAGCUGAAGGACGCCUGGGAACCCUGCAGGAAGAGGAGCGGCGCAUUGAGGGCCUGGAGAGGAUGCUGUCCCAGGCCAAACAGCAGCUUUCAGAACGGGAGCAGCAGCUAAUGGCCAAGUCAGGUGAGCUGCUGGCCCUGCAGAAAGAGGCUGACGAUAUGAGGGCCGACUUCAGCCUCCUGAGGAACCAGUUCUUAACAGAAAGGAAGAAGGCAGAGAAGCAGGUGGCCGGGCUAAAGGAAGCACUGAAGAUCCAGCGCAGUCAGCUGGAGAAAAACCUCCUGCUUCAUUAUGAAGAAAAUAAAUCAUCCAUCAACCCAGGCCCUACCCCAGUGGUUAUUAUUGGUGUAUUUUGUCAUAAUUGAUUGUUGAAGCACACAGUGAGUCUUGGCUGCCAGCAGCCAUCCUGUGGACAGCACAGCACAGUAGGGAGCUCUGCCCUCUGCUCAGCCCACUGCAGGCUCUAGGCAUUGGGUUGGUAGGCACCUUUGCAGAGCCUCAGGCAGCCUGUUUGUGGCAAUCUGCCCUUUUUGUUCAGCAUUAAUUUUUAUCAAGCGUUAAAACCAGGAAGCCUGGUCUACCAUGCUUUUACCCAUGACCUAAGGGGUGGGGUGGUGAUGACAUCAGUCAGAGCAGUGUGCACAGUGUUUCCAGGAGUGGCUGUUUCCAGCGCUCUCUGGAGGGACUAGUAGAACUGCUGUAUGAAGGAAAUCUGAUGCGUUAUCAGAAGGUGGUGUGCUUUAACUAGGACUUGGGCAGGAUGAUCGGAAAGAUAGAUUUAAGCUGGCCAUGGUGGCCCAGUCCUCUAAUCCCAGACUCAAAACCAGAGGCUGGAGGAUCUCUGUGAGUUCGAGGCCAGCCUGGUCUUACAGUGAGUUCCAGGCCAACCAGAGCUACACAGUGAGACCCUGUCUCAAAUCAAUAAAUGAUAAUCCCUACAGCCCCUGAAGGAUGUUGCCCUUUCAUGGGUCACUGAUGGGGCUGAGGGAGGGGAAGGUGACUUGUCAGAGGUACUGCUAAAGAUUUGGCUUCAAACACUGGAUUCAAAUUCUCCCAGUCACACUACACCUGCCUCCAGAAUGCUCCAUUUCACAGUUGUAGAAACUGAGGUCUUUACAUUGCUGGUGAGUGUGGAACCCGUGUGUGUCUGCAAAGUCCUUUGCCUCCCUGCAUGCUAGGAGCAGAAGCAGGAGAACAGCUGCAUGCAAAAGGAAAUGGCUACAAUUGAGCUGGUGGCCCAGGACAACCACGAGAGGGCCAGGCGCCUCAUGAAGGAGCUGAGCCAGAUGCAGCAGGAGUACCUGGAACUCAAGAAACAGGUAGCAAACCAGAAAGACUUGGAGAGGAGGCAGAUGGAGGUCAGUGACGCAAUGAGGACGCUGAAGUCGGAGGUGAAAGACGAAAUCAGAACCAGUCUGAGGAACCUCAACCAGUUCCUUCCAGAACUUCCAGCAGAUCUAGCGUCUAUUUUGGAAAGAAAUGAAAACUUAAGAGAGUUGGAAAGCUUGAAAGAGAACUUCCCGUUUACCACAAAAGAGAGGAUUUUUGAAGAAAAAUCCAACUUUCCCCAAGUUCACAUCAUGGAUGAACACUGGCGUGGAGAAGCACUCCGUCAAAGGCUGCGCCGCCAUGAAGAUCAACUCAAGGCUCAACUUCGACACUGUAUGUCUAAGCAAGCAGAAGUAUUGAUCAAAGGAAAGCAGCAGACAGAGGGCACCCUACACAGUCUGAGGAGACAAGUUGAUGCUUUAGGAGAACUGGUCACUAGUACCUCCACAGACUCAGCAUCAUCACCCAGUCUGCCUUCCCUUGUGGAGGACUCCCAGCAUGGGCAUAGUCAGAGCUCCUUCCAAGUUCUGCAAGUUCCAUUAGAAGAACCAAACAGUUACCGCCACUAAGUUUCCUGCUUGCAGGAAAAGAAGCUCCAGCCAAGGUCAGGAAUACAGCCAUGUGUAACCAUAAGAGGAAAUAGCUACUCUCCUACCUCACUGACAUCCUAAUGGAAUGUCAAUCAAGAUCCUGUGAAGACUGAAAAUGCAUUGUAGUUUGUACCAUUUAUACCGAGGUGUCUGUAAAUCACAUGCACUUGUGGGACUAGAUGUGUGUAUCUAACAUAGGAUGUAAGGGGCUAUUUUUGACUCUCCUCCUCCUCCAAUGAUGAAAUAUUUUUUAAAGACAGUGAAACCACAUAUACUGAGUCCAUAACUGGUAUGUCUAGUUACCAUGGAAAAGAAUGUACUAAAAGCCCCUAGGCUUAAUUAAUAAGUUAUUAUUUUUGAUUCUGAUCCAAAGUUUAUUUUUAAUAUGAAAAUAAAGGUACAGUCAACUUGUGUCUGUCA
Molecule: RNA transcript, 8504 nt
Organism: Mus musculus (house mouse)
Lineage: Eukaryota; Metazoa; Chordata; Mammalia; Rodentia; Muridae
Gene: Cntrl
Gene name: centriolin
Exons: 44
Source: RefSeq, marked validated